CCAAGGAGUCUAACAUGUGCGCAAGUCAUCGGGUCUUGAAUAAUCCCGUAGGCGAAAUGAAAGUGAAGGGCGACAUCCGUCGUCUGCGUUGGGACCCCGGCCACUCGUGGUCGGGAGCACCAACGGCCCGUCCCGAUCGCAUCGUCGAUGGGGCGGAGCGAGAGCGUACACGUUGGGACCCGAAAGAUGGUGAACUAUGCCUGGGCAGGACGAAGCCAGAGGAAACUCUGAUGGAGGUCCGCAGCGAUUCUGACGUGCAAAUCGAUCGUCAGACCUGGGUAUAGGGGCGAAAGACUAAUCGAACCAUCUA
This 310-nucleotide ribosomal RNA is filed under the name Parogovia sironoides. RNAcentral describes it as "eukaryotic LSU rRNA". It matches the Rfam family "Eukaryotic large subunit ribosomal RNA", at positions 666 to 946 of the family's 3401-position model. Lineage: Eukaryota; Metazoa; Arthropoda; Arachnida; Opiliones; Neogoveidae. The record is from RNAcentral.